Molecule: ribosomal RNA, 454 nt
Filed under: uncultured bacterium
Lineage: Bacteria
Description: partial 16S ribosomal RNA
Rfam family: Bacterial small subunit ribosomal RNA
Source: RNAcentral
GAUGAACGCUGACGGCAUGCUUAACACAUGCAAGUCUACCUGAACUUCGGUUUGGGUGGCGGACGGGUGAGUAACGCGUAAAGAACUUGCCUCACAGUUAGGGACAACAUUUGGAAACGAAUGCUAAUACCUGAUAUUAUGAUUUUAGGGCAUCCUAGGAUUAUGAAAGCUAUAUGUGCUGUGAGAGAGCUUUGCGUCCCAUUAGCUAGUUGGAGAGGUAACGGCUCACAAAGGCGAUGAUGGGUAGCCGCCCUGGGAGGGUGAACGGCCACAAGGGGACUGGGAAACGGCCCGUACGCAUACGGGGGGAAGCGGUGGGGAAUAUGGGACAAUGGACCAAAAGUGUGAUCCAGCAAUUCUGUGUGGAAGGUGACGUUUUUCGGAAUGUAAAGUGCUUUCAGUUGGCAAGGAAAAAAUGACGGUACCAACAGAAGAAGCGACGGCUAACUACGUG